UCUUGGUCAUUUAGAGGAAGUAAAAGUCGUAACAAGGUUUCCGUAGGUGAACCUGCGGAAGGAUCAUUAUUGAAAUUAUAGGCGAGGGUUGUAGCUGGCCUCACGGGGCAUGUGCACGUCCGAUCCAUUAAUCCACACACACCUGUGAACGUAUUGUGAGGGCCCGUGAAAAAGGCCCCCACGUCUUUAUAUCAUAUAACCCUGUCUUACAGAAUGUAAAAUGUAUGUGUUCGGACAAAGAAACUCAUACAACUUUCAACAACGGAUCUCUUGGCUCUCGCAUCGAUGAAGAACGCAGCGAAAUGCGAUAAGUAAUGUGAAUUGCAGAUUUCCAAUGAAUCAUCGAAUCUUUGAACGCACCUUGCGCCCCUUGGUAUUCCGAGGGGCAUGCCUGUUUGAGAGUCAUUAAACCAUCAACCUCUGGUUUUUCGAGCCUUGGGGAUUGGAGUUGGAGUGUGCUGGUCGAAACCCCCAUCGGCUCCUCUCAAAUGCAUAAGCGGGAACCCCUUUACUUCCGAAGUCGGUGUGAUAAGGAUUUGUUACGCUGGCGCCUCUACAUGGAAGGCCGCUCACAAUCGUCUCAGACAACGUCUUUCAAGCUUGACCUCAAAUCAGGUAUGACUACCCGCUGAACUUAAGCAUAUCGAUAAGCGGAGGA
Molecule: ribosomal RNA, 658 nt
Filed under: uncultured Piloderma
Lineage: Eukaryota; Fungi; Basidiomycota; Agaricomycetes; Atheliales; Atheliaceae
Description: eukaryotic LSU rRNA
Rfam family: 5.8S ribosomal RNA (bases 251-405)
Source: RNAcentral